AUUGAACGCUGGCGGCAGGCCUAACACAUGCAAGUCGAGCGGAUGAAGGGAGCUUGCUCCUGGAUUCAGCGGCGGACGGGUGAGUAAUGCCUAGGAAUCUGCCUGGUAGUGGGGGAUAACGUCCGGAAACGGGCGCUAAUACCGCAUACGUCCUGAGGGAGAAAGUGGGGGAUCUUCGGACCUCACGCUAUCAGAUGAGCCUAGGUCGGAUUAGCUAGUUGGUGGGGUAAAGGCCUACCAAGGCGACGAUCCGUAACUGGUCUGAGAGGAUGAUCAGUCACACUGGAACUGAGACACGGUCCAGACUCCUACGGGAGGCAGCAGUGGGGAAUAUUGGACAAUGGGCGAAAGCCUGAUCCAGCCAUACCGCGUGUGUGAAGAAGGUCUUCGGAUUGUAAAGCAUUUUAAGUUGGGAGGAAGGGCAGUAAGUUAAUACCUUGCUGUUUUGACGUUACCAACAGAAUAAGCACCGGCUAACUUCGUG
This 484-nucleotide ribosomal RNA is filed under the name uncultured bacterium. RNAcentral's name for it is "partial 16S ribosomal RNA". It matches the Rfam family "Bacterial small subunit ribosomal RNA", at positions 30 to 507 of the family's 1533-position model. The record is from RNAcentral.